AUUGAACGCUGGCGGCAUGCCUUACACAUGCAAGUCGAACGGUAACAGGUCUUCGGAUGCUGACGAGUGGCGAACGGGUGAGUAAUACAUCGGAACGUGCCUAGUAGUGGGGGAUAACUACUCGAAAGAGUGGCUAAUACCGCAUGAGAUCUACGGAUGAAAGCAGGGGAUCGCAAGACCUUGUGCUACUAGAGCGGCCGAUGGCAGAUUAGGUAGUUGGUGGGAUAAAAGCUUACCAAGCCGACGAUCUGUAGCUGGUCUGAGAGGACAAUCAGCCACACUGGGACUGAGACACGGCCCAGACUCCUACGGGAGGCAGCAGUGGGGAAUUUUGGACAAUGGGCGAAAGCCUGAUCCAGCAAUGCCGCGUGCAGGAUGAAGGCCUUCGGGUUGUAACCUGCUUUUGUACGGAACGAAAAGCCCCGGGUUAAUACCCUGGGGUCAUGACGGUACCGUAAGAAUAAGCACCGGCUAACUACGUGCCAGCAGCCGCGGUAA
Molecule: ribosomal RNA, 498 nt
Filed under: uncultured bacterium
Lineage: Bacteria
Description: partial 16S ribosomal RNA
Rfam family: Bacterial small subunit ribosomal RNA
Source: RNAcentral